RNAcentral lists this ribosomal RNA (360 nucleotides) under uncultured bacterium. RNAcentral's name for it is "bacterial SSU rRNA". It matches the Rfam family "Bacterial small subunit ribosomal RNA", at positions 151 to 507 of the family's 1533-position model. The record is from RNAcentral.
GCGAAAGCUACGCUAAUACCGCAUACGAUCUACGGAUGAAAGCGGGGAUCGCAAGACCUCGCGCGAUUGGAGCGGCCGAUAUCAGAUUAGGUAGUUGGUGAGGUAAAGGCUCACCAAGCCGACGAUCUGUAGCUGGUCUGAGAGGACGACCAGCCACACUGGGACUGAGACACGGCCCAGACUCCUACGGGAGGCAGCAGUGGGGAAUUUUGGACAAUGGGCGCAAGCCUGAUCCAGCAAUGCCGCGUGCAGGAUGAAGGCCUUCGGGUUGUAAACUGCUUUUGUACGGAACGAAACGGUGAGCUCUAAUACAGUUUGCUAAUGACGGUACCGUAAGAAUAAGCACCGGCUAACUACGUG